AUGGAUGAGGUCACAAGGGGUAUACAAGGAGAUAUCCCAUGGUGUAUGCUCUUUGCGGAUGAUGUGGUGCUAGUUGACGAUAGUCGGACGGGGGUAAAUAGGAAGUUAGAGUUAUGGAGACAAACCUUGGAAUCGAAAGGGUUUAGGCUUAGUAGAACUAAAACCGAGUACAUGAUGUGCGGUUUUAGUACUACUAGCUGUGAGGAGGAGGAGGUUAGCUUUGAUGGCCAGGUGGUACCUCGGAAGGACACCUUUCGGUAUUUGGGGUCAAUGUUGCAGGAGGAUGGGGGUAUUGAUGAAGAUGUG
This 306-nucleotide ribosomal RNA is filed under the name Triticum aestivum (bread wheat). Its description in RNAcentral is "partial small subunit ribosomal RNA". Lineage: Eukaryota; Viridiplantae; Streptophyta; Magnoliopsida; Poales; Poaceae. The record is from RNAcentral.